RNAcentral lists this ribosomal RNA (835 nucleotides) under uncultured archaeon. RNAcentral describes it as "bacterial SSU rRNA". It matches the Rfam family "Archaeal small subunit ribosomal RNA", at positions 1 to 909 of the family's 1478-position model. The record is from RNAcentral.
UUCCGGUUGAUCCUGCCGGACCUGACUGCUAUCGGAUUGAUACUAAGCCAUGCGAGUCCAAGGCAUACGGCUCAGUAACACGUAGUCAACUUACCCUAUGGACGAGGAUAAUCUCGGGAAACUGAGCAUAAUACUCGAUAGAUCAUAAUGCCUGGAAUGGUUUAUGGUUGACGCCAUAGGAUGGGACUGCGGCCUAUCAGCUUGUUGGUGAGGUAAUGGCCCACCAAGGCGAUUACAGGUACGGGCUCUGAGAGGAGAAGCCCGGAGAUGGGUACUGAGACAAGGACCCAGGCCCUAUGGGGCGCAGCAGGCGAGAAAACUUUGCAAUGUGCGAAAGCACGACAAGGUUAAUCCGAGUGAUUCACUAGUGAAUAAGGGGUGGGCAGGUGUCAGCCGCCGCGGUAAAACCAGCACCUCAAGUGGUCAGGAGGAUUAUUGGGCCUAAAGCAUCCGUAGCCGGCUCUGUAAGUUUUCGGUUAAAUCCAUGUGCUCAACGCAUGGGCUGCCGAAAAUACUGCAUAGCUAGGGAGUGGGAGAGGUAGACGGUACUCGGUAGGAAGGGGUAAAAUCCUUUGAUCUAUCGAUGACCACCUGUGGCGAAGGCGGUCUACCAGAACACGUUCGACGGUGAGGGAUGAAAGCUGGGGGAGCAAACCGGAUUAGAUACCCGGGUAGUCCCAGCUGUAAACGAUGCAGACUCGAUGAUGCAUUGGCGCCAGUGCAGUGUCGCAGGGAAGCCGUUAAGUCUGCCGCCUGGGAAGUACGUACGCAAGUAUGAAACUUAAAGGAAUUGGCGGGGGAGCACCACAAGGGGUGAAGCCUGCGGUUCAAUUGG